This 253-nucleotide ribosomal RNA is filed under the name uncultured bacterium. RNAcentral describes it as "partial 16S ribosomal RNA". It matches the Rfam family "Bacterial small subunit ribosomal RNA", at positions 524 to 776 of the family's 1533-position model. The record is from RNAcentral.
UACGUAGGUGACAAGCGUUGUCCGGAUUUACUGGGCGUAAAGAGCGCGCAGGCGGUCGAUCAAGUCGAGUGUGAAAGCCCCCGGCUCAACUGGGGAGGGUCAUUCGAUACUGAUCGACUCGAAGGCAGGAGAGGGUAGUGGAAUUCCGGGUGUAGCGGUGGAAUGCGUAGAGAUCCGGAAGAACACCAGUGGCGAAGGCGGCCCGCUGGGCAGUGGCUGACGCUGAAGCGCGACAGCGUGGGGAGCAAACAGG